RNAcentral lists this ribosomal RNA (497 nucleotides) under uncultured bacterium. RNAcentral's name for it is "partial 16S ribosomal RNA". It matches the Rfam family "Bacterial small subunit ribosomal RNA", at positions 28 to 507 of the family's 1533-position model. The record is from RNAcentral.
GAUGAACGCUGGCGGCGUGCCUAAUACAUGCCAGUCGAACGGACAGACGAGGAUCUUGCUCCUCUGACGUUAGCGGCGGACGGGUGAGUAACGCGUGGAUCACCUACCUAUAAGACUGGGAUAACUUCGAGACACCGGCGCUAAUACCGGAUAAUAUAUUGAACCACAUUGUGCAAUGGUAAGAGACGGUUUUGCUGUCUCUUCUCGCGGCAUAUGCGCCGCUUUAGCUGGUUGUUAAGGUAACGGCUUACCAAGGCAACCAUGCGUAGACGACCGAAGAGGGGGAUAGGCCACACUGGAGCUGAGACACGGUCCAUACUCCUACGGGAGGCAGCAGUAGGGAAUCUUCCGCAAUGGGCGGAAGCCUGACGGAGCAACGCCGCGUGAGUGAUGAAGGUCUUGGGAGCGUAAAACUCUGUUAUUAGGGAAGAACAAAUGUGUAAGGAACUAUGCAGGGCGUGACGGUACCUAAUCAGAAAGCAACGGCUAACUACGUG